This 501-nucleotide ribosomal RNA is filed under the name uncultured bacterium. RNAcentral's name for it is "partial 16S ribosomal RNA". It matches the Rfam family "Bacterial small subunit ribosomal RNA", at positions 29 to 523 of the family's 1533-position model. The record is from RNAcentral.
AUUGAACGCUGGCGGCAUGCCUUACACAUGCAAGUCGAACGGCAGCACGGGUGCUUGCACCUGGUGGCGAGUGGCGAACGGGUGAGUAAUACAUCGGAACGUACCUUAUCGUGGGGGAUAACGCAGCGAAAGUUGCGCUAAUACCGCAUACGCCCUGAGGGGGAAAGCGGGGGACCGUAAGGCCUCGCGCGAUUAGAGCGGCCGAUGUCUGAUUAGCGUGUUGGUGAGGUAAAAGCUCACCAAGGCGAUGAUAAGUAGUGGGUCUGAGAGGACGAUCAGCCAAACUGGGACUGAGACACGGCCCAGACUCCUACGGGGGGCAGCAGUGGGGAAUGUUGGACAAUGGGGGAGACCCUGAGCCAGCAAUGCCGCGUGAGUGAAGAAGGCCUUCGGGUUGUAAAGCUCUUUUGUCGGGGAAGAAACAGCAGCUCUAACACAGUCUGCGAAUGACGGUACCUGAAGAAUAAGCACCGGCUAACUACGUGCCAGCCGCCGCAGUAA